Molecule: transfer RNA, 72 nt
Filed under: Cavia porcellus (domestic guinea pig)
Lineage: Eukaryota; Metazoa; Chordata; Mammalia; Rodentia; Caviidae
Rfam family: tRNA
About the family: Transfer RNA (tRNA) molecules are approximately 80 nucleotides in length. Their secondary structure includes four short double-helical elements and three loops (D, anti-codon, and T loops).
Source: Rfam by way of RNAcentral
UAGGGUAUAGCUCAGCAGCAUAGCGUCUGCCUGGCAAGCACAGGGUCCUGAGUUUAAUUCUCAGUUCCAAAA